Molecule: ribosomal RNA, 440 nt
Filed under: uncultured bacterium
Lineage: Bacteria
Description: partial 16S ribosomal RNA
Rfam family: Bacterial small subunit ribosomal RNA
Source: RNAcentral
CCUACGUGUGGCAGCAGUGGGGAAUAUUGCACAAUGGGGGAAACCCUGAUGCAGCGACGCCGCGUGAGUGAAGAAGUAUUUCGGUACGUAAAGCUCUAUCAGCAGGGAAGAAAAUGACGGUACCUGACUAAGAAGCCCCGGCUAACUACGUACCAGCAGCCGCGGUAAUACGUAGGGGGCAAGCGUUAUCCGGAUUUACUGGGUGUAAAGGGAGCGUAGACGGCGGAACAAGUCAGAAGUGAAAACCCGGGGCUCAACCCUGGGAGUGCUUUUGAAACUGUUUGGCUGGAGUGCAGGAGAGGUAAGCGGAAUUCCUAGUGUAGCGGUGAAAUGCGUAGAUAUUAGGAGGAACACCAGUGGCGAAGGCGGCUUACUGGACUGUAACCGACGUUGAGGCUCGAAAGCGUGGGGAGCAAACAGGAUUAGAUACCCCUGUAGUC